RNAcentral lists this long non-coding RNA (793 nucleotides) under Malus domestica (apple). RNAcentral's name for it is "long non-coding RNA (MDOM_LNC003438)". The record is from RNAcentral. Lineage: Eukaryota; Viridiplantae; Streptophyta; Magnoliopsida; Rosales; Rosaceae.
UUUUCUGCUCCAACUCUUCUAGCCUAAAAUUUUAGUGCAGGAUUAUAAAGAAUGAACUUAGAUUAUUUUUUUUCUUAAAUUAAUUUUUUUUAAAUAAAUAUGUAGACUAUCGUAAAUUAAUUUUAUGAACAUUUUAAUUUAAAAAUAUUUAAAUUCCGAUAAAUAUUGAAAAAUCACUAAAUUUUUCACAAAUCAAGCCUUUAACUUUCACCAAUCUGUCAACCCUGGGCUAACUUUUAAUUCACCAACCGUUCAACAUCAAAAUUUUCAAUUAAUAAACUACAUAAACUUAAUACAACCGAUAAUUCAUAAACCACAUAAUUAAUAAACUACAUAAACUUAAUUCAAACGACAAUUAAUAAACUUAUUUAAUAAAGCACAUAAUUCAUACACUACAUAAACUUAAUAAUCAUAUCCGCCAUCUUCACUUGGUGAUGGACUUCAUACAGGACUUGGGAUAUAGGGUUCAGAGGAUUCAUCAUCUUGAAACAUACUCCUUGAGGCAGACUUUCGCAAAAUUUCCUUUUGUUUACCACAUAAGAACUUCUUCCUCUCUGGAGUGUAUUUGCUGAGGUUUUCCAUCAUCAAAUUAAUUUCAAACCUAUCUUGCUCCCUAUCCGAGAUUUCCUUCAUUUGCAAACGCAUUUGGGCCGUUUCUUCUUGGUGAGCGCUAUGGGUUUCGUUCAAUUUUGCAAUUCCGGUAGCAAAGUGUCCACUCAUCGGAUCUUGGGACUUUCCUUUUCUCUUUGCUUCUUUUUGCUUAUCUCUUCCCGGCAAGGAGAUGGGGUCAUUU